Molecule: long non-coding RNA, 851 nt
Filed under: Homo sapiens (human)
Lineage: Eukaryota; Metazoa; Chordata; Mammalia; Primates; Hominidae
Description: non-protein coding lnc-SOX6-7:3
Source: RNAcentral
CAGCUCCAGAGCAGCAGCAAAGGGAAGCAGCGUCCUCGCCAAUACCUGGGCUGUCCUUCAAGGCUCAGUGCAAGGAAAAACACCUGGGUUGGACAUCAGAUAAGGAAAUUGAGACUCAAAGAGGACCCCCAUGGAGAAAGUAAUGAAGCUUGAAUUUAGACCCAAGAUCAUGUCCCUUUCACUUCCUCAGCCUGCCCAGGAAGUUUAUAGCGUGCUCAUGCCACAAACCCUGGAGCUGGAUACGCGCUCAAUUGGCUUGAAGACCUUGGGUAGUGCUGACUUCCAGACCACUGAGGUCACCUGCAUAAGCGAGUCUGGCAACAAAUAAUCGUCUUCCAGAAAAUGACCAGAAACUCAGCCUGCUUUUUGUCAUUUCACCAGCCCCACCAUCUUUCCUUUAUUCUAGAGCUCCUGGCACACUUACAUGAAUCUCUUGAAAGAAGAGAAAUGAGAGCAUUCAUUCCAUACUAAUACAAUUGUGCCCUAUGGAAAGGCUUUUUGCUGGCAGACAUAGUAGACGGACCAUUUCCCAACUUCUUUUUCUUUGCCACCUUCCAGCCAAAGGUGUCCAUAUGACACAGCUCUGGACAGGAUAAUUGGAAGUCUGUUGUGGGAUUUCUGAGAAAGCUUUUGAUUUUCUGACAGAGACAUUUUUGCUUCCCCUUACCACUUCCUACUGGAUUACAGAUGUGAUGGAAAGAGCUGCAGCAGCCAUAAUACAACCAUAAAGGAGAGGAGAAGAGAAUUGCAAAGGCAUCAACCCACAUUGAAUUGAACUGCUAAGUUAACACUAGCAGUUACUUGCCUCCAGAUAUCUUGGUGUGUGAGAACAUUAAAUCUGUAUGUGUCUA